RNAcentral lists this unclassified non-coding RNA (3281 nucleotides) under Patiria miniata (bat star). Its description in RNAcentral is "acyl-coenzyme A synthetase ACSM3, mitochondrial-like, transcript variant X2". The record is from RNAcentral. Lineage: Eukaryota; Metazoa; Echinodermata; Asteroidea; Valvatida; Asterinidae.
ACACAAUACGACACACACACAAAACAGAUUAGUGAAAGUUCAACCGUUCAUCAAAUCACAAGUACCGACGACGGAUCGGUAGCGGGCGUUUUUUGACUGUCGGGGACGGCCGGGCCGGGGAUCUAGCGCGCAGAGCGGGCGGGGCCAAGCACAAAAUUCGGUCACCAACACGGCAACAAGGAACCAGAACUCAGACAAAAGAUCAAAAGGAUGCCUGAUAUUCCGAUGCCACUGUGAAAAUGGCUGCCAUUUUGAAACAGUGUCGGCUGUUGCACAUUGGUCAGUUUCGCCAAAGCAUACGCCAACUGCACCUCAACUCAAGAAAACUUGUUUGGGCAUCCAACAAGACACUUAGGAACUAUACGCCAUGCUGUACCAGGACAUCACAUCCGUUAAAAGUAGCUGUGACACAGUACCAGCCAGUGAGAACAUUCCUGUCUGCACUGUCAGCCACUGGUUUCAAUGAUUACGAACUUGGUAGGCGUCAGUUUCAGCUGGACGUUCCUGAGCACUUCAACUUUGCCAGUGAUGUUCUGGACGAGUGGGCGCAAAAAGAACAGGCAGGCACAAGGGGCUCCAAGACCCCUGCCCUAUGGUGGAUUGACGACCAUGGAAGUGAGAUCAAGUGGAGUUUUACGGAUCUCCAGGACAAAUCAAAGAAAGUGGCCAACAUACUUACCAACGAUUGUGGCUUAUCGAGGGAUGAGUCUGUGACGGUCAUACUGCACAGAAUUCCCGAAUGGUGGCUUGUCAACAUUGCCUGCUUACGCACAGGUACCAUACUAAUCCCAGGUACUACACAGUUAACAGCACGGGACAUCAGGUACCGUCUACAAAGCUCGGAAACCGCUUGUAUCAUCACAGAUGAGCACACUGCUCCUCUUGUAGAUGAGUACAUAUCUGAGUGCCCCAGUGUGAAAUCUAAACUGCUCAUAAGCAGCAGUGGUGAAUCUAGACCAGGAUGGCUGGAUUAUCACGAACUGUACGAAAAAGCCGACAGUCAACACAAGUGUGUCAAGACUCGAAGUGAUGAGUCAAUGACAAUGUUCUUCACCAGUGGAACUACUGGCAAGGCGAAGCUGGCUGUACACACACAUGCUAGCUAUGGUCUCGGUCACUUCAUCACAGGAAAAUACUGGUUGGAUCUGACUCCAACUGACAUCCAUUGGAAUAUGUCCGACACCGGCUGGGCCAAGUCAGCCUACAGUAACUUCUUUGGUCCGUGGGCCCAGGGGGCGUGUGUCUUCAUAAGCUACACGGCGAGGUUUGAUCCUGUCCACACACUGGAGCUGCUUCAUAAGUACCCAGUCAGCACGCUCUGCGCUCCUCCCACAGCAUACCGCAUGAUGGUGCUUGAAGAUCUGAGCAAGUAUAACCUCAAGUCAAUCCGGCAUACCGUCAGCGCUGGGGAACCCCUGAACCCAGAAGUGAUGGAAUCUUGGAAAGCAGGCACAGGCUCCAUGAUCCAUGAGGGAUAUGGACAGACAGAAACAGUGCUACUGACAGGCAUGUUCAGGUGUCUGGAGCCAAGAUCAGGGUCCAUGGGUAAGGCAGCCCCUGGGUUUGAUAUCAGUAUUGUGGAUGAAGACGGCAACGAACUCCCUCACGGACAGGAGGGGGACAUUGGGGUGAGAGUCAAGCCCCACCGUCCCGUUGGACUCUUCUCUCAUUAUGUGAAUGAUCCAGAGAGGACAGCCAGGGCAUACCGUGGGGAUUUCUACCUCACAGGAGACCGAGCAGUCGCGGACGAUGACGGUUACCUGUGGUUUGUUGGACGCGGUGAUGACAUCAUCAACACAUCAGGGUUGUCAAGGCCUUCAUUGUACUGACUGCAGACUACAAGUCUGAAGACAAAGAGCAGCUGACGCAGGAAAUACAGAACCACGUGAAGAGCAUCACGGCGCCUUAUAAAUACCCUCGCAAGAUUGAAUUCAUGGAGUCUCUUCCCAAGACAGUAAGCGGUAAAAUCCGACGGGUGGAACUCCGGAACCAGGAAUGGAAUCAAAAAGUUGGAUGAAUUGCUGGAUUGCACUGAUUAUUCGCUCUUCACUAAUUGCCUUCCUCAACUGUAUUCAUUUAAAAUAUAUAUAUUUUUAAUUUUCUGACUGGGGAUAGAUAGUGAUAAAGGUUCUAAAUCAAUCAUUUUCCAGCUCUAUGGUAGCUUUUUUUUUUAAUAAAUAAAUUUUUAAUCACAAAUAUAUUCAGCUUUCAAGUGAAUCAUGUAGUUGUAGUAUUAUCGUGAAAUUUGAUUUACACAUGUAUUCUUGCUUACAAAUCAUGUACCAGAAAUUGAAAUUUUUUUUUUAAUCUUCUUUUCUGUACAAAUCUUUCAAUUAAGACCAUAUUAAAAGACACUUAAUUUCCAUAUACCUUUGUAAACACAACUGAAAAAAUAAAGGUUAUAAAAAUGAUAGACACCCAUGGUAAUAGUCAUUUCCUAUCUGUUCAUGCAAUAUACCUUUUUUUCAGUUAAAUAUUUUAGGUGGAGGUAUAUUUAACUACAAUCAGCACUUUUCAGUAUCGGCUUUCCUGGCUAUUUGAAAAGAUUUUUUGUUCAAAUACACCAACUCCAACAUUCAAUUUUGUCCACGAAAAAUUUCACAUUUAGUCAUUAACCAUUAAAUUUUAAAGUUUGAUCAUCCUCUUUAGUCACUGGGUCGAGAAUAUUCGUCAUUACAGAUCAAAUUCCUCUAAGCUGUUGUCAAAUGGCAUCAUUCUGAGAUCGAAUUUAUAAAUCAGUUAGACGAAUUUGAUUUCUGAAUAACAAGGUUUGGCGUACACGAGACGAAAUGGAAUACUCUGGGACAAAAAUGUGUGCCCGUUGUUUCAAUUUGCUUGAAUUGAAUUUGAAAUUGUCCGCCAAAAGAUAAAAUUAAACAUUGGAAGUGCACUAAAUCGAUGUUGCUGGACGAAUUUGAAUAUACAGUGUAGAAACAGUGAAUAUGAAUGAUAAAUGUUUUAAAGUAGCCGGGAAAAUGUAUAUUAACUUUUCAAAUUUCCACAUCAGCACUUUUUUUUUUUAAUACUUUUUUAAAUUGCGUAAUUUCUGUAUUGAUCUGAAGAUUAAACAAUGUUAUUUUUAAUGUACAGUCAAAUUUUGUAACAUGCAAAGAAACCUUGAUUUUUAGUAAAUUUUUACUGAUGCUUUUACAUCAGGAUGAUUCCAGCCUGAAAUGUUCGUAAUGUUUUGAUCAUAAUUUUUUAUACUGCUUAAAUUUAUUCUAAUCAUUUUGGGAUAUUAAAUAAAGAUGCCACAAUAUGCAUCUUAUUUUAAAUAAGAA